GUUUUGGAUUUGACAUUGACUACAUCAAGAGGAGACUUGCUACCAAGUCAGCACUACGUGUCAGAAAAGUUGCAUUGCAGGAAAACAAGGUCCUUUGAAGAUCGGUGUAAGGAAAAGAAAGGUCCUGUUUUCCAUCACAUCUUUACAAAUACUACAGUGUUUGGUGAGAAACCAAGAUGCCAAGGAAGAAAGGUUUUCUGUAUGUGUCACACGCCCAAGACCAGUAAAAGAAAGAGCAGUGAUGAGGAUUCUGCUUGUGCAACUCCCAAGACCAUCUGUUGUUGUUGGCACAAAGUUAGAAUGCAUUCAGUGAUCACUGAUAGGAAUGAAUCUGUAGUGUGUAGCGUUGCAGCAGCAAUUAAACACAAGAUUCUUCCUGUGUGUGAAUGGCAAGACGGUGAUGUGGAUGACAUACGAGCCGAAGGAAAAGCAUUGCUCCAGUAUUUAGCAAAGGUAAAACAGUCCAGCCAUGCUAAACUGAAUUUGUGUCGGAUGAUUGAGCAACACAAUGUGUUUGACAGCCAAUGGAGUAUAACUGUUGGUGUGCUGAUGUACAGAGAGUAUAUAGAGGCACCAGCAUCUACAAGUGGUGUGAUAGGGAUACCAUGCAAAUAUGAACGUAUUGCUGCGGAUGGCAACUGUUUUUUUUAAAGCUAUCUCUCAUGCUGUAAGUAGUGUACAAAAAAAACACUUAAAAAUUAGACACGCAAUUGUUAAACACCUGAAAAAUAAUGCUACACAUUAUAGAAACACUUUAAGACGUGACUACUCAUUUGCUGUAGAGUACUUAAGCAUGUCAAAGAUGCAAUACAUACACAAAAAAAAAUAGCAUACAACUGCAAAAUAAUUUGGGCUUUGUAGUUAGAAGAACACGUACGCAACCUGCAGUUGAGCGGUAUACCCGUUUCUCUGUAACCAAAGAUCCUGAACAAUAUUAUAAAAAUAUUUUGCAACUCUUUCUUCCAUAUCAAAACAAUGCACAGUUAAAACCACCAACCUGCCAGUCUUAUGAAGACUUUUACAUGUCAGGGCAUGUAACUUGUUAUAAUGGAACAAGGGCGUUGGUAAAAGAUGUUGUUGACAUGAAUCGCAGUAGAUUUGAACAUGAUGCUGAAGCACUAGAUACUGCACAAGACUCCAUUGACCAUCAUGGUGGAGUAGAAGAGGCAUGGUGUGAGCUGUGUCCAGAACAGGAGUUAGAACAUCUGCAAUGCAAACAAGAACGCAAAGAAGCCAGAGGAAGAACACACAGAUAUAAUCCCAGAUUUGAGCCUUUGUCAUUAAGAAGUUGACCAUUUAGAAAAGACAAAUAACUUGUUGAGGAGAAAUGAAGGGUUGCAAUUACUCCAUUCCUUAAAUGACACUCAGAUGUCAGUGUUUUUUUUUUUUUAUCAAAUUAGAAAGUGGUGUUUACAGAAGAUUCAGGGGACAAAUCCACAACCACUCCAUGUUUUUAUCACAGGUGGUGCAGGUACAGGAAAGAGACAUUUAAUUAGGGCUAUACAGUAUGAAGCUACGAGGUUACUAUUAACUGUGUGUUAUCAUCCAGAUGACAUUUAUGUGCUGUUAACAGCUCCUACAGGUAUAGCAGCAUACAAUCUCCAAGCUUCCACCACACACAAUACUUUCAAUAUUGGCAUUGAUGUAAAAUUAUCAUACACACCACUGGGUGAGGAAAAGAUAAAUAGUUUGUGCAGUAAAUACUCUCAUCUGCAGCUUCUCCUCAUUAAUUAAAUAUCCAUGGUUGACCAUAAACUGAUGGCAUAUAUUCAUGGCAGAUUAAGGCAGAUCAAACAAUUUGGUGACUUUUCCCCAUUUGGUAAUGUCAGUGUGGUUGCUGUUGGUCAUUUCGUUCAACUGCCUCCUGUCAAAGGCAAACCAUUGUAUGUUGAGGAUGUAGGUGUCAAUCUAUGGUCUAACCUUUUUGAAGUGGUUCAAUUGAAUACAAUUGUUAGGCAGAAAGAUCAUGUGUUUGCACAGUUAUUGAAUAGAAUAAGGUCACGCUGAAAAGGAACACUACUGUUGGAAAGUGACUUGCAAUUAUUAAAGAGUUGCGAAACAGGUGAAGAAAGUUCAUGUCUUUACACUUUUCCCACCAAUGUUCAAGUUAGUGCUCAUAAUCUUGAGCAAUUAUUUAAAUCAUGUCCAGAUUAUGUUGAAAUUAAUGCUCAAGAUUUUGGACAUAAUAAGAGGACAGGCAAACUUGAGUUAAUGGUUUGACAUCACAAUAAAGUGUAUAAUACAUCUUUACCUGAAAGACUGCUACUUGGGGUAAAUGCACAUGUGAUGUUAACUAAGAAUGUGGAUGUGAUGGAUGGGCUUGUAAAUGGGGUA
This is a long non-coding RNA of Plectropomus leopardus (leopard coralgrouper), 2334 nucleotides long. RefSeq lists it as uncharacterized. The record is from RefSeq and is a predicted model, not a curated record. Lineage: Eukaryota; Metazoa; Chordata; Actinopteri; Perciformes; Serranidae.